CCCGAUUCGAGUCCGGGUUCGGGAGUGGCGCGAGUCCAGGAACUGGAUGGGGUACAGGAGUCCUGCCGUGACUCACUGCUGCGUUUGAGAGUCAGCCUUCUCCAAACUCCUGGUUAAGGCUCCUAAAGUUCGAGUCUGCAGCUUGACGUCCUUGGGCACCGGGCCAGGCGAGACGUGGGCAGCAGCAGAUUCCUUGGGUGAGAAAAACGUCUCUGAGGCAAAUUCACCUAAUACAGCUGGAGAGAACCUUGUCAACAUCCAAUGUUUAAUGUCGGCCAAGUGAUUUACAUGUACUGUUACUCUGCGUAAUAAUUACACCCAUUUUAAAGAUGAGGAAACUGAGGCCCUGAGGUGAUCGGUAACUUGCCUGAGAUGUCACAGCUAGGAAGUGGACAAGUACUAGAUUAAAGCAGCCCCCUUUUCUCCUGGAGAAACAACAGUCCACCUCUUCCCCUGAUGCACAGUCGAAGCCUAUCACCCCUUCUGCAGCAGUGGCUCCAGAGAACAUCAGUAAAGAUGAUGAGACUGAAAUCCAAGCAAUAGGAUGUCCUCUAAACAGGUUUCUGAGGGAAGGGCAGAGGAGUCUGAGAACACUGGUGGCAAGUCUGAGGAAGCAUCCUCCCUCUCAAACAGGAAAGAAGAGCCAAGAGAGCCAAGUGAGUGAAAAGUUGAA
Molecule: long non-coding RNA, 673 nt
Organism: Propithecus coquereli (Coquerel's sifaka)
Lineage: Eukaryota; Metazoa; Chordata; Mammalia; Primates; Indriidae
Exons: 5
Source: RefSeq, a predicted model, not a curated record